This is an RNA transcript of Rhea pennata, 4155 nucleotides long. It is a transcript of the gene named cyclin I family member 2, with no coding region annotated. The transcript is spliced from 7 exons. Lineage: Eukaryota; Metazoa; Chordata; Aves; Rheiformes; Rheidae. The record is from RefSeq and is a predicted model, not a curated record.
GCGGGUCCGCCGGAGGCAGCGGAGAGGAGCCCGAGCACGGCGGGCUGCUGCAGCCCGGGGGGGCGGGGACCGCUGUUGUUCGGCCGUCUGACGGGGAGGGGGGUCCUGGUCCUUCAUCGCGGGCUCCCCCCAGGAAAACGGGCGGCAGAAUUGCGCUUUCCCCUUUGCAAACGAGCAAGUGGCCUGGCCGUCCCGCCCCGCGAGGACGUCGGGGCUAGCUCGGCGGCUGCGAUGUUGCCUGGUAAUUUUUUUUUCUCUUGGUUUUGACAGCGGCUCCCGCCUGGGCAAUUGGCUGGAAGAGUUGCUAUGAAGUGCCCUGGACCUUCGGAGAGCCUGAGACUUGCCCUCUUCCUGGAAAAUGCCUUAGCCAGCGAGGCUAGGAUAUGGAAAGUGCCAGUUUUCCAGGAUCUCAUCCUGAAGGGUACAGAUAUCUCUCUCUUGUGUUACGAGAAGGUGGUUCUCUGGAUUGCAGAAAUAAGCUCUCGGUUCCAAUUUUACCCUGAAACAUUUGCCUUAGCUAUCAGCAUCCUUAACCGGUUACUGGCAUCAGUAAAGGCCCAAUUAAAGUAUCUUGAGUGCAUAGCAAUUUCCUGCCUUGUCCUUGCAGCAAAAACCAAUGAAGAAGAUGAGGUAAUACCAUCGGUGAAGAUGCUUGCAGUGCAGAGUGGUUGUAAACGCUCUCCAGCUGAGAUCUUGAGAAUGGAAAGAAUUAUACUAGAUAAGCUUCACUGGGAUCUUUACACAGCAACACCAAUGGAUUUCUUAAAUAUUUUCCAUGCCAUGGUGAUGUCCAACUGGCCCCAUCUACUAAACGGGCUGCCUCAGAUGAAUCCUUCCCGCCAUGUCGCAUUCUUGACCAAACAGCUACAGCACUGUAUGGCAUGCCACCAACUAUUGCAGUUUAAGGGCUCCACAUUGGCUUUGGUGAUCAUCACCUUAGAGUUGGAGAGGCUGACUCCUGACUGGUUUCCUGUUAUUACUGAUCUGCUAAAAAAAGCACAGGUUAACAGCACCAAAUUCAUCCACUGCAAGGAGCGUGUGGAUCAACAGUUAAUGCACUUCCAGACAUCCAAUGCCAUUUAUAUUUUUUAUCCCACCAGUCAAGCCAUCCAGGCCCAUCCCCAGGCAAGGUUGCCCUACUCUUCUGAAUGGAAGAAUUCCUAUCAGGUGAGGCUGCGGGUCACUGGUCACCAGCCAGUUUCAACAGCUUUCACCUCUACUGCAGCCCAAAUUCCAGAUGACACCAUGGAGACAGAUGAAUACUAUGAUGGAUUCAGGUGCCUGUACAGCGAGGAUAGGGGAGCAGAUAGCGGAAGGGUGAGCAUGGGCAGCUUGUGCCCCCAGCUGAGGCCUGGAGAAGGCAGCUCCCCGUGUCCCCCCUUAGAGCCGCCCGAAAGGGACUAGCGGGAACCUUCCUGCCUCGGAAGCAGCGACUGCAGAACCAGGAUGUUCCCGCGAACAGAACAGCCAAUGCAACAGAGCAAAAGCCCUGCUUUGUUUUUCAGAGGAUAAUGACAAAAUGUGUUAUGUUUCAUAUCCUUCCUAAAUAGUGUUUGCUAACCCCAGUUUUUAUCAUUUAAGUAUAGAAAGUUGGGGAGAGGAGGGACUCACAAUCCUACAACUCAGGGAUCAGUUCAGCAGAGGGCUACAUACUGCACCAGAGAACUAAAUGCCUUGAGGUUUGGGUGGGUUUUUUUUUGUUUUUUUUUAAUAGUUGUGAUGAAAUGUGACAGAUUCAGCAUUUCAUCGAGCUCAUUGCAUUGCUCUCUUAUUAAAGCUAAUCCGACUUACCCCACGGAGAUGAAAGGAGCAGCCAUCAAGGAAGGGGGAGUUUCCACUGCUGGUUCCUUACAAAGAAACCCCAGCUGGGACCAAGGUUUUGAUUUAAUAGGAAAAAGACCAGGAGGCAAAACUCCCAGUUUUUCUUAAGGCCUUAUCCUGGAAUCCUAGGGUCUGAGGGCUGUGCUCCUUCCUGGUUAACCUAUUAAAGACCCCAUACAAAUUCCUGUGUGCUGUGGGAAAAGCCUUCUUGUGUGGCCCUCGCAGACCAGCUUGUGGUGUUCAGUUUUGUUUUGUCUUGCCAGACUGGACUAUGCAAAAUGCCUUUAACUACCCCCCCCACCUCCAAAAUCAGUUUUUGUUAACAGCUAAUUUCAAUAGCAAAACAGUUAAACUGACCUUUGUAGUCUGUUGAAGUCUCUACUCCACUUUUAAAACUAGCAUUACACUAUUUUUAAAAAAUAAAGGUUACUUUUUAAAAACUUUUUUUUUUUUUAACUAUAGGGCCAGCCUUUUUUAGAUAUUUUGUUAUAAUAGUACAAUAGUUCGGAGAUUUAAUCCAAACAGUACUGUCCAAGUAGCAAUACCACCCCUGCAAGUCCUGUCACAGAACAGACGAGGUUUUCAUCCAGACCUGCGCAGGCUAAAUGCUGAGGCGACAUCUCACGUAAUGACACAGGGCAGCAGCACGCAUCACUGCGGGAAGAAAGUUUCUGGCCUUCCUUCUCCUGGUUCCUUGUCUUACCUUACAGGAGCAAAAUUCCUGGACUUUGGGCUGUGCAGGACUGAUGCCCUGUGCAGCUCUGUCCGCAACGUAUUACACGUAGCUGCUGCCAGAACUGGCAUCGAGAAAAGUGAGUUUUGUGCAUCUGCAAGGAGAAAGCCAUGCUUUUCUUUUGCAACCGCCAAGAAAGCGGUGCUUAAGCAUUCCAAAAAGAAACAUUCAGCAUCAAAGACUUAAGUGCAAAUUACAGGUGUGAGCAGGUGGGAUCUCAGCCAGUGCUGAAACCCAGGAGGUCCCGCGAGGCGAAGUCAGAGCUACUGCAAACCGAGCGCGCCGCGGUGCGAGGGGAGCCGCGGCGGCGGCCCCGCGCUCGCUGCGGGGAGCCGGGCUCGGCGCGCUCGGGACGCUCCCCGUCCGUCCUGCCGGAGGGAAGGUUUGCGUCCCGUCGUGCGGCGCCUUCCUUUUCUACCACAAGCUGUGUCUUGGCUGCCCGACUUUUCGAGGAGGCGGGCUGUCGUCUGUAGUUUUCGUUAAAUAAAAUACAACCUCGGUCCGUGCGUUCUCAGCACCCUCCUUUACGACUGCGGCUGAAAGCUGGUGCCCGCGGAGAUCCUUGCGAGGCGCCAGGGUCCGUUUAGUUCUGUUUUUCUUCCCAUCCUUUCUUACGCCUCGUCUCAAACACCUUCACCAGCUGCAUUAGCCGGCGGGACGUAGCAGAGAAACUGCACGCGCAGCCGCGAGCACGCUGCGGCGCUGGGAGGGGAGCACCCAACCCGGCACCCGCGGGCCCCUCUGCGCCCCGCCGCUGCUUCUCCAAAGGACCCACCGGACCGACGCUCCUGCUGGGCCGCGGCAGGGUAAAAGCGCCGCCUUUCGCACCCCGGCGCCCCGGUUCUGCUGCCCGUUUCCGGGGAAAACUUUUUGUGUUGCAGACCAGGGGAGCAGCCGAAGCUUUCAAGCAGGCCCGCAGCAAACUCGCGUUCGACGACGUCUCCUUCGGAAUCCAGUAACGUUCCCGAGCGAAAGCUUCUUUCAUCAGAGAUUUGAGAUUCGCGGCCUUCCUCUCCCAUUCCAGAGGGCGCGGAGGCAGGCGCCGCCACCGCCGACGGCGGUUAAAACCCCAGGCGACGUACAGCGCGCCACGGCAGACGUCUCGGCCGCUGCCUCGCGUCGGCUCGGGGUGCCCGCGGUUAACGCCACCGCGUAAGCGGAUCUGCAGCUGCAUCCGAAGCCGCCUGCGGUAAGCAUCCGGGGAAUCGUUCUGUCCUCCGGGAAGUUUUCUGAGCGAUGCCGUCGCUGUUCGUCAACGCUGAGAUUUGGAGUCAACCAAAACACGGACGGGCGACGAGCACUAACUCACCCACGGGCACAGCGGCGCCCUGGCCGGGGCAGCGUCCGCCGGAGCGCAGCGCUCGCGGCUCCGUCCUCCAGGGACGCGGAGCAGGGCAGCGAGCGGAGACGCGCCGGCGGGGUGCCAGCGCCGGGGUGCGUUUUAUACCCAAACAUACGCAGAAAGGGGGUGAGCAGAGGAAAACGGGAAUAACAGCGAGUGUUGUGAACUUGACAGCAAACGUUUAACAUACAAAACGUGUUUUUGAGAUUGCUUGUUUAACAAGUCAGUUUUGUGUUUAUUAAACCCAACUUUGGUACAA